Molecule: long non-coding RNA, 1158 nt
Filed under: Chrysemys picta bellii (western painted turtle)
Lineage: Eukaryota; Metazoa; Chordata; Testudines; Emydidae
Description: lncRNA (ENSCPBG00000017787.1)
Source: RNAcentral
UCAAAUCCACUGAAAUGUGCUCUACAUUCCCUUUGGGGGAGACAGUAGGAAAUAUUUUCAAAAUGAUGAUGGUCCAAGCUCUGCUCUCAUUUACAUUGAUUCCAGUCUGAUUCAGUGGCAUGUUACACUGGCGAAACUGAAAGCCAAGUUUUUCCCUUGUACACAGGUACAACUGAGGGCAGGUUUUAACGUGGUCUCUUAGGUGAGGAAAUAAAAAGUUGUUUUUUGCUUAGCUUUAACCAGCUUUUAAUAAGAAAAGAAGACUGAACUAAGGAAAAGAGAAAAAUAAGCUACAUGUCAGCUCCUGGUACUUCAGAGAGACCAGCAAGCAGUAUUUUAAAUACUGCAGCCUCAUUUCUUGAGGUUUUAUUUCCUGGGAUGUUAUUUGUGGAGCAGUGGAUUUACUUCUGGAUUUAUAUGGAUUUACCUCUGAGUCUUUGAUUCCACUAGGACACAUCAUGGCUGCAACUCUGCAGGGAAAAAAAAAACACCAAUGGGCCCAAUGGAGUAGGAGCCUGUGAGAUUUAUAAGUGCUUUGUGUCCUUUUAUUGAAUAAUAAAGACUUUCCCUUUCUGGCAGAACACAGGAAAUCAAAUCUGUUCCCUUUACUUCAGGGCAUAUAGUCAUAAGUCGUCUUUUGUCUGUAAAGAUGAACCUCAGCUACUUGUAACAAGAAGCCAGCUUCUAAAGCAAACUCAUUUUGUUUUACCUUUGCUCCUUUGGAAUCCCAUCUGAAGCCCCCUCUCUCCAUACUUGGCAGCUACCUCAACAUUUCUUUGGUGGAGCAGAUUCUCUUCCAUUCAUCCAGUGAACAAGCGUAAUUCCUCUUCUGCCCAUCUGGGUGUGGAACACAUUCAUCUCAUCACAGGAACUGAUGUUGAAAACAGAGUGAGAAGCCAUGCCAGGCAGGAUGUGAAAAGCUGUACAAUUUCCAAAAAUAAUCUGCAGUUUCCUUGGAAAACACUGAGCAGGCCUUCUCAGGCUUAACUAGGACAGCUGAUGAGAUUGGACAAUGGUGGCUCUAAACCAGAAGCAAAUGGAAUCCCUGAAGGUGAACACAAAGAGCUGGCACGUGUGAGAUUCUCUGCACAGGCCUGUCCCACUGAGUAUUGCUGUUCCACUGUGUGCUUUGGAAACUGUGACUCUGUAAGCAAUUAG